Molecule: ribosomal RNA, 415 nt
Filed under: uncultured soil bacterium
Lineage: Bacteria
Description: bacterial SSU rRNA
Rfam family: Bacterial small subunit ribosomal RNA
Source: RNAcentral
AGAGUUUGAUCCUGGCUCAGAAUCAACGCUGGCGGCGUGCCUAACACAUGCAAGUCGAACGAGAAAGUGGAGCAAUCCAUGAGUAAAGUGGCGACCGGGUGAGUAACACGUGACUAACCUACCUUUUAGUGGGGGAUAACCCCGGGAAACCGGGGCUAAUACCGCAUAACAUCGCAAGAUCAAAGCAGCAAUGCGCUGGAAGAGGGGGUCGCGGCUGAUUAGCUAGUUGGCGGGGUAACGGCCCACCAAGGCGAAGAUCGGUAUCCGGCCUGAGAGGGCGCACGGACACACUGGAACUGAAACACGGUCCAGACUCCUACGGGAGGCAGCAGUGGGGAAUUUUGCGCAAUGGGGGAAACCCUGACGCAGCAACGCCGCGUGGAGGAUGAAGCCCCUUGGGGCGUAAACUCCUUUC